UCCACGUUUCCUCUGUGGUCAGAUGUCCUGCGGGUUCAAGCACUCCGCGGUGGUGACCGCUGAUGGGAGGCUGUUCUCCUUUGGGAACGGGGACUAUGGCAGGCUUGGGUUGGGAAACACCUCCAACAAGAAGCUCCCUGAGAAGGUCACUGCGUUGGAGGGGUACCAGGUCGGACAGGUGGCGUGUGGUCUGAAUCACACCGUAGCCGUCUCUGCUGAUGGAAUGAUGGUCUGGGCCUUCGGAGACGGAGACUACGGGAAACUGGGCCUGGGGAAUUCUACCGCCAAGUCCUCACCUCAGAAGGUGGACGUUCUCUGUGGCCUCGGCAUCAAGAAGGUGUCCUGUGGAACUCAGUUCUCUGUUGCCCUCACUAAAGAUGGCAACGUGUACACGUUCGGACAAGACCGACUCAUAGGGCUGCCCGAGGGCCGGGCCAGGAACCACAACCGUCCCCAGGUGGUACCAGCUCUGUCUGACGUGUUUAUACAGGAUGUGGCUGUGGGGGCCGAACACACACUGGUCCUGUCCUCCACCGGAGAGGUCUAUACCUGGGGCAGCAACUCAGAGGGUCAGUUGGGUCUGGGCCACACCAACCAUGUGAGAGAGCCCACCCUGGUGACAUCACUACAGGGGAAGGACAUUCACCAGGUCUCUGCUGGUCGCUGUCACUCUGCUGCCUGGACCGCUCCGUCUGUCCCUCCCCGGGCUCCGGGUUCCUCCGUACCCCUCCAGCUAGGCCUGCCGUCAGCGGUGCCCCCAGUUCAGCUCUCUGAGAGAGGUCAGCAUGGAGGCAGUCCGGGCCAGACUACGUGUUCUUUACCACUUCUCUGACCUCAUGUACUCAUCAUGGAGAUUACUCAACCUCAGCCCCAACAACCAGAGCUGUACGUCCCACUACAACACAGGGACGUGGGGCAUCGUCCAGGGCCAGUUGAGGCCCCUGCUGGCCCCCAGAGUCUAUACUCUCCCCAUGGUGAGGUCCAUAGGGAAGACUAUGGUGCAAGGAAAGAACUAUGGACCUCAGAUCACUGUCAAAAGGAUCUCCACACGGGGUCGUAAGUGUAAGCCCAUCUUUGUGCAGAUAGCCCGUCAGGUGGUCAAGCUGAAUGCGUCUGACCUGCGACUGCCGUCCAGGGCCUGGAAGGUCAAGCUGGUGGGGGAGGGGGCCGACGAUGCUGGAGGGGUGUUUGAUGACACCAUCACUGAGAUGUG
RNA transcript from Oncorhynchus tshawytscha (Chinook salmon), 1213 nucleotides. It is a transcript of the gene named probable E3 ubiquitin-protein ligase HERC1, with no coding region annotated. Lineage: Eukaryota; Metazoa; Chordata; Actinopteri; Salmoniformes; Salmonidae. The transcript is spliced from 8 exons. The record is from RefSeq and is a predicted model, not a curated record.